GUCGUACGUAUUUUUACGUUCACUGUGAACAAAUCAGGACGCUUAGAGUAUGGCCACAUGAAUGACUCAGCGCAGUAUGAAGUCUUUGUUUUCUUCCGAAAACAAGCUCAAUGAGAGCCAUCGGGGGUAGAUCUAUCUCAUGACGAGUGGUGGAAUACUUUGACUCAUGAGAGAGAAGCUGAGGCGAAGGCGUCUACCUAGAGGGUUUCUGUCGAUCAAGGGCGAGAGUAGGAGUAUCCAACAGGAUUAGAGACCCUGGUAGUUCCUACCUUAAACGAUGCCGACAGGAGUUUGUCAUUUGUUAAUGGCAGAAUCUUUGGAGAAAUCAUAGUUCUUGGGCUCUGGGGGAACUACGACCGCAAGGCUGAAACUUGAAGGAAUUGACGGAAGGGCACACCAGGGGUGGAGCCUGUGGCUUAAUUUGAAUCAACACGGGGAAACUUACCAGGACCAGAUGUUUUUUAUGACUGACAGGCUUCGGGUCUUUCAGGAUAUUGUUUUUGGUGGUGCAUGGCCGUUGGUGGUGCGUGGGUUGACCUGUCUAGCGUUGAUUCAGCUAACGAGCGAGAUUAUCGCCAAUUAUUUACUUUGCCGAAGUCCUUCGGUUAAAGUUCUAAUUGGGACUCCCUGCGAUUUUAGCAGGUGGAAGAGGGUAGCAAUAACAGGUCCGUGAUGCCCUUUAGAUGCUCUGGGCUGCACGCGUGCUACAAUGUUAGGAUCAAUAGGACUGCGAGCCUGAGAGGGUGCGCUACUCUUAUAAUCCCUAACGUAGUUGGGAUUGACGUUUGUAAUCAGCGUCAUGAACCAGGAAUCCCUUGUAAAUGUGUGUCAACAACGCACGUUGAAUACGUCCCUGCCCUUUGUACACACCGCCCGUCGCUCCUACCGAUUGGAUGACUCGGUGAAAUCACCCGGAUGCUUACGAGCAGAAAGUGA
Molecule: non-coding RNA, 936 nt
Filed under: Trichomonas vaginalis G3
Lineage: Eukaryota; Parabasalia; Trichomonadida; Trichomonadidae
Description: Eukaryotic small subunit ribosomal RNA
Rfam family: Eukaryotic small subunit ribosomal RNA
Source: Rfam by way of RNAcentral